GGGCCACCAAGAAUGAGCCCAGGAGAUUGGGCUGUGGCUAGAAUGUCACCUUAGCCCUGGCCCACCCCUCUGGGCAAGCUCCCACCAUGUGAGUGCUGGAGCCAGGCUGUCCCACACUGGCUUCCAGAAGGUGGAAUUCACAGGCUGGUGACAUUUCAGAAAUUCCCCAAGAGGAAGUCACAGGAGUGAGCUGCACAGCAUGGGGAGGAGACAGCAGGACUAAGGAGUUGGACAGUUUCAGGAGGAAUUCUUAAUAUCGAGCAAUGUUGCAUUUGUGAGGGGGAGCCCUCCUCACCCCACCCUGGGUCGUCUCCAGGUGCAGAACAGAGCAUGGAAGGCCUCACUUGACACUGCAGUAGCCCACAGCCUGGUGCUUGAUUGUGCUUCACAAAUGGGGAAACAGAGGCUCAGGUGGCUUUCUGGGGUACUGAUCACAGCAGAGAAACACUACAGCCUGGCAUGGAGCCUCUGGAUAUGGGCCCUGGGUGAGGGAGGGCUAAAACCCACCAGCAUCCGGGUGAGUGGUGUGUGCAUGAUGGAGCCUGGGGCCUGAGGUACUAGGGAGCCACUGAAGACUUGGAGGAGGGGGUGCAUCCCCCUCCAAAGCAGAACUAUAGAUAACUGGAGCAUGAGCUGGGGGCCAGGCAGCCUGGAGCCAAAGGCGGGGCUCAGAGGGAAACCCUGCUUUGGGGUGAGGUGUCCAGCUGGAACAGGGUGAUAGCCUGAGCCCCAACAGGUGGGCGGCACCAAAAGGAACUGCUAUGAGCUCAGCUCCGUCAGAGACUCCAGAUCCAAAAUUCGUCACUUGCCAGCUCAUGGCCCUGCCCAUCUAUUGUGGCCCCAAGACCCCAGGGGCUCCUGACCUCCCACCCACUCUGAUCCAGCCCUUGGGCUUCUGCCGCUGUUGUGGCGCACCAAGCAUGCGCGCAGCCUUUGCACCACUGUGCCUCUGCCUGAGACAAGUGCCCCGCAUCUUUACAGUCCUGGCUGCUGCUCAGAUCCAGGGCACAGCUCCAGCAUCCCCUCAGGGAGGCCCUGCUGACUACAGUCACCACCACCACCAUUAACAGCCUGGGAAACGCGGUCAAGAAAGGUGGGAGAAGGUUCUAGGAAAGUGAUGAUGGCUUCGUCUUCCCCCUUCCUGACACAGCCCCCCCCCCACCAGGCCCAGAGACUGCCCCAGCCAGAGACCAGCAGGUGAGGCCCUAACACAGCCCUCCUCCUGGGUCCCCUCCUCACCCCUUCCUGCAUGGAGUCACCUGCCCAAGACAGGUCCUGGGCAUAGGGGGAAGGGGGCACAGGCAGCAGUGGGGACUUGCCUAAAUGCAC
RNAcentral lists this long non-coding RNA (1329 nucleotides) under Heterocephalus glaber (naked mole-rat). RNAcentral's name for it is "lncRNA (ENSHGLG00000045575.1)". Lineage: Eukaryota; Metazoa; Chordata; Mammalia; Rodentia; Bathyergidae. The record is from RNAcentral.